UUUUAUUCUAAUAACGUCAUCGUAGACGUUUCCUGACAGUUUCUUGUCGAUUUAGGCUUUCGGAGCGUUACCAUAUGCAUGUUUGUAAUCGGUUUAAUCUUCAAGGUGAGAUCUGGGUGUUCCUCGACAUAUUCAACGGAUAAUCAGCUACAUUUGGAUUUGUUUCUGUCGCAACAAUUGCAGUAGCUUGGGUCUUCAAACUAAAUAACUUCGAAAAUGACAUAGAGAGAAUGAUUCAAUUAAAACCUUGAAUGAAAUUGGACAAUAUCAUGGAAAUAUAUCUCUCCAGUUAGUAUGGUCGUUAUCCUGAUUGCAAGCUUCGUGGACAUGUUCCUCAACCCUCGAGUUACUACGCUCGGAACAGGGAUACCGGCUCAAAAGACGAAUUAUUAUCCGCCACGAACCGUAUUUUUCAUCGUAUUAUUGAUACUAAACUCGGUGGUAUCCCGUUAUUUGCGGAUCUUGUACGUUUCGGAAUUUUCGACACAAAAUGGAUCGGUGCAUAUUCUUACACAAGAAAUAAAAGAGCCGAACAGAAUGAUAAUCGGAGUUAUGGGAUCGGCGACUCAUUGAAUUUAAAUUCGACGAACAAAGUUUGAUUUUCUAUAUUUAAUAUCCACCAGGUGGUAUAUUUUUGUGAGAUGCCACCACAUACCCCGGGCCUCGUACCUAAAGCACUAAAACGUUGGAUAUAUCGUAGAAUAUUGAAAAAACAUAACAAUAUGGCAGCGAAAAAGGGUUAAUAUUUUUUUUUUAUGAAAACUCUAGUAUAAUAAGCAAAUCUGAUAUGGGCCUUUGAAAACCAAAGUUUUUCACAAAAUGAAUUUUUAAUUGAGCAGCAGUUUCUGAGUUUACAACCUAUGACAAAAUUCUGUCAAAAUUACACCGCUUCCAACAGAUUCACCACCUCUGAUUUAUAUACUGUGCUUCUGUGCCUUGGAAAUUUUUUUUUCCAUCUUCUUGUUCAUUUGUUUCGUAUACACAAUGUUUUGCCUUGUUUGAAUUUGUUGUUUAUUCUUCUGUGUCUGCUUUCUGUUGAAGCUUUUUCUUUCCCAGUUCACAUUGAAAUGUUUUGUUUUUGUCUUGUUUUGAUUGUUUUAAAUGAUUUUUUUUCUGUGAUUGGCACAAGAUGUUCAUGCUAGAUUUUACUGAUCCAAAAGCCGUUCGAAUCUGUUCCAAAUCUUUCAAAACUUGAUAAUCUAGAAUUCUUUGCAAUCAGAAAAUUGUACAUUGGCCUCAAGUUAAUUCUUUGGGUUUGAUUACAAAUGCUCAAUUCAGCUUGAUUACGCAAAAUUUUACUCCAGGGUACAUUUUUUUGGGGGUAUUUCUCAAGCACGACUUCGACUGAAGGAUUUCGUUUUUUUAAGGAAUAUCAUAUUGCAAAAUUAUCCAGGGUUCAUCUAUAAUUAUCAGGUACUAUUACUAUGACUCCGAAAUAAAAAACUUUCAAUUUCAAAAAUAAUUACAAAUUCAAGUUUAUAAUUCAAAAUAUACUCAUUAGAAUUCAUUAAAACAAUCCAGAAUCAUUAAGAAAAACUACUAAUUCAGUCAAAAAUCUUAAAUUUAUUUCAGUCAAGAUUUAAUAAGCUUUUUAUUAUCAAGUUUUAAAUUCAUUCUUUCAAUAAAAAUUCGUCGUUUUGGAAGUAUUCGUACCAAGAUGACGUACCACCUGAACAACCCCAACCUGGUACAUAUACUAUGUUCAGGUUGUGCGCCAUCUUGAUACGAAUACUUCGGGAGCACUGAAAACUCUCACCCACACAAGUAUCAAUACACACAAUUUUUUUGGUGAAACUUAUGAAGAGCUUCCUCCAAUAUAGACAAUUUCUCCUUCCAAUCAGGGUUAUUUAUUUUAUUGUUACUUUCUAUUGAAGCUUUUUUUCUGUUUCACAUUGAAAUGUAGUGUCUGUUUUACUUUUAUAUAUUUGUCGUCUGAAUCAGUUUUGUCACAACCCCUAAACCUCAAUCUGAAGCAGUGGUUCUCAUAUUUUUAAGCCACUCCCGUCUUUAAAAUUUGUCAAGAAUUUGUAUCUUGCCCAAUCUAAAAAAAUAACUAGCUAAACAUCUGCUACAAAUAACAAAUAAAUACAGAUAGCGAGGCAACAUAUAAUUUUAAUUAGCUUCAAGUCCCCUCAACCACUGAUCUAAAUUGCAAUUGGCAAAGCAUAUAUUUAAACCAAUUAGCGUCCUAUGCACAUAACCUUACACUUAAAUUAGAUAUCGCUCCUUUGUACAUCUUUAGUUUUGAGUAAAGACUUGAAGUUGUUGGGAAAUCUAUGACCGUCCCGUAUUGACGUCUUGCUUACCUCUUAAGAAGCUAUGCUGCAUUUUAUUGCUUCUAAUGAUAAGUUUCGCUCAAAUGAAUCACCCAUAUACACAAUUUUAUUUAUAAUCAUUUAUGCAUGCUUAUAUAUUGAAUUUACCUUUUUGUGUCAUAAUUUUACUAAAUAUUUGCAAAUCUCCAAAGACGAACCGUCACCUCACCCUGGAAGGAAGCAAAAUUUCCCAUGUGGUUCUUUUGAAAAGCCCUAUACUGGAGAAACGAUUUUCCCAGUCCCUUGGUAAGAGCAUAGGUAAGACUUGGCAGAAAAUCGAAGCCCUGUCACAUCUGCUCGUUCAGAGACUUCUUUGGACAUAGUUGAAACGAAGCUGAAGAAUCCAUGCCCAAAUUUGGGUUUUAUUUUGCCGAUGUAUCUACUAGUCUAAAGCAUUGCUCAAAAAACCUGUUCAGAUGAUUGGUCUUAUUUGGGGCAAAAGCUUAGCCCAACCAAAAACUUCAUUACGUCCAAAUUCUGAUUUUUUAUUUUUUGAUAUUGACUUGUUCACAGCCUUGGUUUAUGCCUAGCAAGAGACCCGUGCCAAACAUGUGUUAUUCGAUGCUGUGCUAUAUUCUUUUCGCCCCCCCCCCACUUUUGAAUGUAAAAAAAUAUUUGUAUAUUUCUGUAUCAUGCAUAAUUUUUCGUACCUUGAAACGUUUUUUAAACCCAUAAGACUCCUGAAGACCCAUGUUUUCCGGCCUUCUGUCGAAACCUGCCUGCUCCCAGUUUCGGUCUAGUUUGGCAAAAAGAAAUUUCAUGACCCUCGCUUGGAAAAAUUUUAGCCCUUGGUUCUAUAUGCCCAGUCUCUGCUUGUCCAAAUUCGUGUUUAGAGAGCGGUGCACACAGCCAGUGAAGCCAUUUUAAUUUGAAGCAAUGUUACACAGUUUUCAACGUUAAUACUCAAAAAUACACAAUACCUCAACUUUACACGGAACGGAGUUCCCUAAAAAAUGCAAAAGUAUAUUAUUUAUUUACAGAGAAAAUUUGAUGAAAUAUUUGAAUUUUUGCUAUUUUGUGUGCCUUGUAUUUUAUUACAUUUGAAAAAUGUGCUUUCGAGAUGCUUGUUUGUAAAGGAAUUUGUGAAUAAAUUGAAAAUAGGC
Non-coding RNA from Styela clava, 3418 nucleotides. The record is from RefSeq and is a predicted model, not a curated record. NCBI's taxonomy places the organism in Eukaryota, Metazoa, Chordata, Ascidiacea, Stolidobranchia, Styelidae.